This 713-nucleotide long non-coding RNA is filed under the name Phoenix dactylifera (date palm). RNAcentral describes it as "long non-coding RNA (PDAC_LNC013322)". Lineage: Eukaryota; Viridiplantae; Streptophyta; Magnoliopsida; Arecales; Arecaceae. The record is from RNAcentral.
GAUUUGGUUAUUUUGAGAUUGUGGAUUUUCUAUCGGUGGUCUUUUUAAUGAACCACCAAAAUAUUGAGAUUCACCUCUCUUUGAAAUAAUGGUUUUGUGCUUAAAUAGGAAUAUUUUUCUUGUUCUGGGGAUGAAGUCUGGCAGAUUCGGUAUGCAUUGCAUUUGGAUUUUGGUGCACCCACAUAUGCUUUUCUCUGGUUAAUUUAUAGAGUUUUUUGUAUGAAUAUCCUUCUAAAUAUCGGAUUUUGUAUGAAUAUCCUUCUCAUCAAAAGUGCCAUUUAAUGAAACAAAGUGCCAAUUUAAAGUGAAAUUGAUGUAAGGCAACUGGGUCUCUCCUUAGCACCUUGCUCUUUAUUCCUUUAGAUAUCUUCUUCUUUCUAUCUAUUUUAUUGAAUCAGUACGGUUAGAACCUAAACUUUUUUUUCUUCUUUUAAUUUAAUGUAAGGAACUUGUCACAAUGGUUGUACCCUUUGCCUAGCAACCAAAAAAAAUAAUAAUCUAGAUUCAAAUAUCAAAUGAUGCAUAUCCAAACAUUUUAGCCUAGAUAUUUAUAAUAUGGAUGGACCUCCCUUAUUUUCUUUCUCUAAAAGAAUUCUAAAAAAAUAUAUUCUAAAAAACUAUAGAUACACCCCUGCUAGCCUGGGGCACACUUAGAUCCCAAAAAUUUGAAAAAUAUCAAUUAGCCAUCAAGACUUUCAAUCUGUUGCAAUAUG